Molecule: ribosomal RNA, 619 nt
Filed under: uncultured Bacteroidota bacterium
Lineage: Bacteria; Pseudomonadati; Bacteroidota
Description: bacterial SSU rRNA
Rfam family: Bacterial small subunit ribosomal RNA
Source: RNAcentral
AAAGCUCCGGCGGUUAGAGAUGGGCAUGCGGGACAUUAGCUUGUUGGUAAGGUAACGGCUUACCAAGGCUGCGAUGUCUAGGGGGUCUGAGAGGACUAUCCCCCACACUGGUACUGAGACACGGACCAGACUCCUACGGGAGGCAGCAGUGAGGAAUAUUGCGCAAUGGAGGAAACUCUGACGCAGCCAUGCCGCGUGCAGGAAUAAGGCCCUAUGGGUUGUAAACUGCUUUUAUACGGGAAGAAAUAUAUCUACGUGUAGAUAUUUGACGGUACCGUACGAAUAAGGAUCGGCUAACUCCGUGCCAGCAGCCGCGGUAAUACGGAGGAUCCAAGCGUUAUCCGGAUUUAUUGGGUUUAAAGGGUCCGCAGGCGGGAAAUUAAGUCAGUGGUGAAAUCCUACAGCUUAACUGUAGAACUGCCAUUGAUACUGGUUUUCUUGAGUACACCUGAUGUGGGCGGAAUGUGUCAUGUAGCGGUGAAAUGCUUAGAUAUGACACAGAACACCGAUUGCGAAGGCAGCUCACUAAAGUGUCACUGACGCUGAGGGACGAAAAGCGUGGGGUAGCGAACAGGAUUAGAUACCCCUGGUAGUCCACGCCGGUACACGAUGAUCACUA